Molecule: small RNA, 210 nt
Filed under: Arabidopsis thaliana (thale cress)
Lineage: Eukaryota; Viridiplantae; Streptophyta; Magnoliopsida; Brassicales; Brassicaceae
Description: ATSL147980
Source: RNAcentral
UCCAUUGUUUUGGGCAAGUUCUAUGAACAAUGUAAGGGAAAAUAAAAGGUAAAGGCUAGGAUUUUGCCAUAUGUGUUUAGCUUUGAUCUUAACUUUCUUUCCUAUCCUUGUAUAUUUUGGGACGGAUAACCCGUAAUGGCCCGUAUCGAUUGAGAAUUACUUGUCCCAUAAGGCAUGUUACCGUUGAAAUAUUUACCUUUUUUAAAAUGU